GGGGUAUUAGCUCAUUUGGCUAGAGCGCCUGCUUUGCACGCAGGAGGCGGUUGGUUCGAAUCCUACAUACUCUA
RNAcentral lists this transfer RNA (74 nucleotides) under Flavobacterium anhuiense. RNAcentral's name for it is "tRNA-Ala". It matches the Rfam family "tRNA". Rfam says of the family: Transfer RNA (tRNA) molecules are approximately 80 nucleotides in length. The record is from RNAcentral. Lineage: Bacteria; Pseudomonadati; Bacteroidota; Flavobacteriia; Flavobacteriales; Flavobacteriaceae.